AAAAUAGAUACCCCGGGGUAGUCCACGCCGUAAAACGAUGAGUGCUAAGUGUUAGAGGGGUUUUCCGCCCCUUUUAGUGCUGCAGCUAACGCAUUAAGCACUCCGCCUGGGGGAGUACGGCCGCAAGGCUGAAACUCAAAGGAAUUGACGGGGGGCCCGCACAAGCGGUGGAGCAUGUGGUUUAAUUCGAAGUAACGCGAAGAACCUUACCAGGUCUUGACAUCCUCUGCCAACCCUAGAGAUAGGGCGUUCCCCUUCGGGGGACAGAGUGACAGGUGGUGCAUGGUUGUCGUCAGCUCGUGUCGUGAGAUGUUGGGUUAAGUCCCGCAACGAGCGCAACCCUUGAUCUUAGUUGCCAGCAUUCAGUUGGGCACUCUAAGGUGACUGCCGGUGACAAACCGGAGGAAGGUGGGGAUGACGUCAAAUCAUCAUGCCCCUUAUGACCUGGGCUACACACGUGCUACAAUGGAUGGUACAAAGAGCUGCGAACCCGCGAGGGUAAGCGAAUCUCAAUAAAGCCAUUCUCAGUUCGGAUUGUAGGCUGA
RNAcentral lists this ribosomal RNA (545 nucleotides) under uncultured bacterium. RNAcentral describes it as "bacterial SSU rRNA". It matches the Rfam family "Bacterial small subunit ribosomal RNA", at positions 775 to 1308 of the family's 1533-position model. The record is from RNAcentral.